RNAcentral lists this ribosomal RNA (492 nucleotides) under uncultured bacterium. RNAcentral describes it as "partial 16S ribosomal RNA". It matches the Rfam family "Bacterial small subunit ribosomal RNA", at positions 29 to 507 of the family's 1533-position model. The record is from RNAcentral.
AGUGAACGCUGGCGGUAGGCCUAACACAUGCAAGUCGAACGGCAGCACAGUAAGAGCUUGCUCUUACGGGUGGCGAGUGGCGGACGGGUGAGGAAUACAUCGGAAUCUACUUUUUCGUGGGGGAUAACGUAGGGAAACUUACGCUAAUACCGCAUACGACCUACGGGGGAAAGCAGGGGAUCUUCGGACCUUGCGGGAUUGAAUGAGCCGAUGUCGGAUUAGCUAGUUGGCGGGGUAAAGGCCCACCAAGGCGACGAUCCGUAGCUGGUCUGAGAGGAUGAUCAGCCACACUAGAACUGAGACACGGUCCAGACUCCUACGGGAGGCAGCAGUGGGGAAUAUUGGACAAUGGGCGCAAGCCUGAUCCAGCCAUACCGCGUGGGUGAAGAAGGCCUUCGGGUUGUAAAGCCCUUUUGUUGGGAAAGAAAAGCAGCAGGUUAAUACCCCGCUGUUCUGACGGUACCCAAAGAAUAAGCACCGGCUAACUUCGUG